This is a long non-coding RNA of Cephus cinctus (wheat stem sawfly), 1317 nucleotides long. RefSeq lists it as uncharacterized. Lineage: Eukaryota; Metazoa; Arthropoda; Insecta; Hymenoptera; Cephidae. The transcript has 3 exons. The record is from RefSeq and is a predicted model, not a curated record.
AUCAGCAAUAUUAUAUUUUAUUGUAAAAAUUCUGAAUUUGAGUAUCAGACUUAGCCAGCGCGAGAUUUGAUUCUAGUUAUUUGAAACUUUUAGUUGGAGAUUCAAAGAAGUAUGAUAAAGAGUAUAUCGAUAGCGUAUUUCAAAAAAAACAAACAGUGUUUCUUACAGCGAAAUCAAAGUGGCAUAGGCUCCAAUGGACCCCAAGAUGACAACGAAAUCAGAAGUCUGUGAAUUUCACUGACGUUAAAUCAAACUGGGCAGAUGUAGGGCGUUCCGGGGUGGCAUGAAAACAUCAAGGUGAAUCGUGCGCAGAUGAAAAGGAGUUGGAAAAUACCAAUUGUGCUUGGAACUCGUACAAAGGUCUUUUGAAAGAUUCGUUCUUAUUCUCAAAGAGGACGUAGGCGUUGCGACGCACAAAGGCAUCAUAAUCCUAUGAUAAACAGUAGACGGAGAGAAUUAAAUACUAAAAAUUCCUGCAAAAUUUACAAUAAAUAUUAUUAUAAAAAUAGUAACCUCGUGCCAUCUUGUCAUAUUAAUGUAGUACCUAAUCUUUCGUUUGUCACAAGCAAAUUUUCCAACCAACAGAGUAAAAACAGCUAAUAAACUUUUACAAGUACUAUAGUAAAAUAUAACUGCUGACAAUUAAAAUUUUCUGUAAAUCUAGUCAAAAGUAACGUCCUAGGUUAAUCUUCGACUGUUAUCGCAUACGGAGGAUAUGCUGAUUCGGCUAAAGAUAGCCGAAGAUAGACCGUUGUCAAUUGAUUAUAGUACUUUCAGUAUGGUAAAAUUUACAGACUGCAAAAUAAAUUGUAACUAUCUAUCAGUUCACUUAUAUCUUUAAAUUUAAAAGAGUCCAAAAAUCGGACUGAAUUAGGUAUAUUUUAAAGUAUCUUAAAAUUCCCCAUGCGACAACGUAAGAUUUAAUGUCAUCUGCAGAAUAUGUGGCUAUAAUUACAUUAUUAUUUCAAAUUUAGAUCUAUACUGUAGACUACGGUGUCAUGAAGUCCCACAAUUACCGUGACAGUCAUGAUAAUUUUUAUUAUAAAAUCUUCUCCAUGUACGCGUAUCGUACAGGGCUAAGUUUGUCGCAUACAGGAAGUACUAUAUAAAUUCAUAUAUCUAUGUACACACAAUGUAAAACAAAAUUGUGAACCGUUAUACAAUUUAUAUUUCAAAUUAGAGUAACACGGUAACAUACAGUAUCAACACCGUAAUUAAGAAAAUUCGAAUAGUGAUCAAAAUAAUAUUUUGUUCACAUAUCCUUAAUUCUCGUGCGAUAGAAUUCUAAUUAUAACAGGCAAGGUAUCGAAUCCGUGC